CCUACGGGAGGCAGCAGUGAGGAAUAUUGGUCAAUGGACGAGAGUCUGAACCAGCCAAGUAGCGUGAAGGAUGACUGCCCUAUGGGUUGUAAACUUCUUUUAUAUGGGAAUAAAAUGUUCCACGUGUGGGAUUUUGUAUGUACCAUAUGAAUAAGGAUCGGCUAACUCCGUGCCAGCAGCCGCGGUAAUACGGAGGAUCCGAGCGUUAUCCGGAUUUAUUGGGUUUAAAGGGAGCGGAGUUGGAUUGUUAAGUCAGUUGUGAAAGUUUGCGGCUCAACCGUAAAAUUGCAGUUGAAACUGGCAGUCUUGAGUACAGUAGAGGUGGGCGGAAUUCGUGGUGUAGCGGUGAAAUGCUUAGAUAUCACGAAGAACUCCGAUUGCGAAGGCAGUUCACUGGACUGCAACUGACACUGAGGCUCGAAAGUGUGGGUAUCAAACAGGAUUAGAUACCCGAGUAGUC
This 460-nucleotide ribosomal RNA is filed under the name uncultured bacterium. RNAcentral describes it as "partial 16S ribosomal RNA". It matches the Rfam family "Bacterial small subunit ribosomal RNA", at positions 338 to 795 of the family's 1533-position model. The record is from RNAcentral.